GUAUAGAUUUAAAGGGCAAUUGAAGCCCCAUUAAUAACAUUCUGCACACAUACAAAUAGGGGUAUAUAAAAACAUAGACCGGAAAGUGUAAGGAAAGCUGGCUUGCGCACAACAGUCCUCAAACCGAGUUUCCUCGAGAAAUUCCGUGUCUACAAAGGGUGCACAGGUGAUAAAAGACUACCGUUAGGCGUGCACAUGCCCCGGAAGGCCAGCUACAACCCAACCAAGCUUAUUCAAUAAUGAUCCUUCCGCAGGUUCACCUACGGAAA
Molecule: unclassified non-coding RNA, 269 nt
Filed under: uncultured fungus
Lineage: Eukaryota; Fungi
Description: sequence contains ITS1
Source: RNAcentral